Molecule: non-coding RNA, 57 nt
Organism: Bos taurus (domestic cattle)
Lineage: Eukaryota; Metazoa; Chordata; Mammalia; Artiodactyla; Bovidae
Source: Rfam
UGGCUCAGGUGGUAAAGCGUCUGCCUGCAAUACAGGAGACCCAGGUUCGAUCCCUGG